UACAUGCGUGGGAAUUCUUUGUGUUCGUUAAUUGUUUUAUUGUCUAAUAUUGAAUGCAUCGACUCGAGGAACGUUCGUUUUUCUUAACGAACACAAAGAAUUCCCACGCAUGUAUUUAUCG
RNAcentral lists this microRNA precursor (121 nucleotides) under Paramuricea clavata. Lineage: Eukaryota; Metazoa; Cnidaria; Anthozoa; Malacalcyonacea; Plexauridae. The record is from RNAcentral.